Molecule: ribosomal RNA, 463 nt
Filed under: uncultured bacterium
Lineage: Bacteria
Description: partial 16S ribosomal RNA
Rfam family: Bacterial small subunit ribosomal RNA
Source: RNAcentral
GAUGAACGCUGACCGAAUGCUUAACACAUGCAAGUCUUUGGCGAAGCUGUGCUUGCACCGCCUAGCCAAGGCGGACGGGUGAGUAACGCGUAAGGAACUUGCCCUGCAGUCAGGGAUAACAGACGGAAACGACUGAUAAGACCUGGUAAAGUCAGGCGGACUCAUGUCCAGCCUGAUGAAAAGAGAUGCUGCAGGAGAGCCUUGCGUCCUAUUAGCUUGUUGGUGGGGUAACGGCCCACCAAGGCGAUGAUAGGUAGCCGGCCUGAGAGGGUGGACGGCCACAAGGGGACUGAGAUACGGCCCUUACUCCUACGGGAGGCAGCAGUGGGGAAUAUUGGACAAUGGGGGCAACCCUGAUCCAGCAAUUCUGUGUGCACGAUGAAGGUUUUCGGAGUGUAAAGUGCUUUCAGCAGGGAAGAAAAAAAUGACGGUACCUGCAGAAGAAGCGACGGCUAAAUACGUG